This 253-nucleotide ribosomal RNA is filed under the name uncultured bacterium. Its description in RNAcentral is "partial 16S ribosomal RNA". It matches the Rfam family "Bacterial small subunit ribosomal RNA", at positions 524 to 776 of the family's 1533-position model. The record is from RNAcentral.
UACGUAGGUGUCAAGCGUUGUCCGGAUUUAUUGGGCGUAAAGCGCCCGCAGGCGGCUUGCCAAGUCUGACGUGAAAUCUCCCGGCUCAACUGGGAGGGUGCAUCGGAAACUGGCAGGCUUGAGGCAGGGAGAGGGAUGUGGAAUUCCAGGUGUAGUGGUGAAAUGCGUAGAUAUCCGGAGGAACACCAGUGGCGAAGGCGACUUUCUGGCCUGUUCUUGACGCUGAGGCGCGAAAGCUAGGGGAGCAAACGGG